CUUGACCCUAGGAGCAUUGCAGAUGUGGCUGCUGUGUCACCCGUGCAUCAGUAGGUGGCAGAAAGGACAGAGGCUGUGUCUACACUGAGUGUUCUGACCUGUGAACCUCUGACCGAUUAGAGCCUAACAUU
This is a small nucleolar RNA of Rattus norvegicus (Norway rat), 131 nucleotides long. Ensembl annotates it as small nucleolar RNA SNORA17. Lineage: Eukaryota; Metazoa; Chordata; Mammalia; Rodentia; Muridae. The record is from Ensembl.